GCCCCUAUAACUCAAUUGGCAGAGUAGCGGACUUUUAAUCCGCGAGUUCCGGGUUCGAGUCCCGGUAGGGGUA
This 73-nucleotide transfer RNA is filed under the name Caudoviricetes sp. Its description in RNAcentral is "tRNA-Lys". It matches the Rfam family "tRNA". Rfam says of the family: Transfer RNA (tRNA) molecules are approximately 80 nucleotides in length. Their secondary structure includes four short double-helical elements and three loops (D, anti-codon, and T loops). The record is from RNAcentral. Lineage: Duplodnaviria; Heunggongvirae; Uroviricota; Caudoviricetes.